RNAcentral lists this long non-coding RNA (1461 nucleotides) under Lactuca sativa (garden lettuce). RNAcentral describes it as "long non-coding RNA (LSAT_LNC008416)". The record is from RNAcentral. Lineage: Eukaryota; Viridiplantae; Streptophyta; Magnoliopsida; Asterales; Asteraceae.
CACCGCUCUCAUUCUCUCUCUCUCUCUCUCUCUCUCUCUCUCCCCUCUCCUCUCNUCUCUCUCUCUCUCUCUCUCUCUCUCUCUCUCUCUCUCUCACACAUUAAACCAACGUUACUUUGUUUCAUUAAUGUUAACAUGAGCAGAGUGCGCACUGCACACCAUUCCUGCAACCACCGCCGGUUAUGAAUCCCACAACCGACCAACUACCACCACCGCCACAACAGGCGUUGCCAUUACAGCCACCAAGAUCCUCCUUCAGCUGCGACCGCCAUCCCGAUGAGAACUUUUCUGGAUUCUGUCCAUCAUGUCUCUGCGAACGUCUCACCACUCUAGAUCAAUCAGCUAACGCCACCGCUGCCGCUUCCUCCUCCCGUCGUAAUUCCACCUCCUCCGCCACUGCUGCUGCUCUCAAAUCGAUAUUCAGAGUGCCUUCCUCUUCCAUCACUACCUUCGAAGCCUACAAAAACAAAACAGCAGCUACAGCUACAGCUUCAGGUUCAACCAGAACCUCAUUUUUCCCUGAGCUCCGCCGCACAAAGUCUUUUUCCGCCUCGAAAAACGAAGGAUUAGGAUUCUCUGCCGGCGUUUUCGAGCCUCAGCGGAAAUCUUGCGACGUUAGGGGUCGUAACACGCUCUGGACACUCUUCUCCAUCGACGACGAAAAUAAACCCAGGCAUUCCUCCGCUCAACAACAAGCCCUAGGAAACACUGGGACCCUCCUCGAGACCAACAAAGAAGACGACGAAGAAGAAGAAGAAGAUCAAUUUCACAACGAAGAAAUUGAACUUGCCGAAGAGCAAGACGUGAGUAAUUUUAACGAUCCUGAGAACGACAUUGUGGAAGAAGUGGCUGAAAUUCAAGAAGAAGAAGAAGAAGAAGAGAAUGCAAGUGUGGACGAUUUGAAGACCAUGAAGGAUCACAUAGAUCUCGAUUCGCAGUCUAAAAAACCAUCAUUAUCAAAUUUCUGGUCAGCGGCGUCGGUUCUAAGCAAAAAAUGGCAAAAAUGGAGACGAAAGCAGAAGAAGAGCAGCAUCGACGGCAACGGCGUCCUCUCAUCGUCAACAUUGCCGGUAAAGAAACCGAUGUCGCGUAAGUAUCGAGAGACUCAGUCCGAAAUUGCUGAUUACGGAUUCGGCCGGCGAUCCUGCGACGUUGAUCCCAGAUUUUCACUUGACGCGGGUCGGAUCUCGUUUGAUGAUCCGAGAUACUCCUUCGACGAGCCUAGAGCUUCUUGGGACGGGUAUCUAAUCGGCCGGACUUUCCCACGGCUUCCUCCCAUGGUAGAAGAUGCACCUGUGGUGCAGAUACCACGUUCCGAUAUGCAAAUCUCCGUCGAAGAACCACCGACAAAUGUAGAUCUUCUUGUCCCCGGUGGAUCAAUCCAAACCCGAGAAUAUUACUCUGAUUCUUCCUCCAAGCGCAGGAAAAGCCUCGACAGGUCAAGCUCCAUCCGAAAAAUGG